Molecule: long non-coding RNA, 1104 nt
Organism: Marmota monax (woodchuck)
Lineage: Eukaryota; Metazoa; Chordata; Mammalia; Rodentia; Sciuridae
Exons: 2
Source: RefSeq, a predicted model, not a curated record
CAUGCAGGGAAAAGAGCAGCUGGCCUGAGCACUUCCCCCCAACUGGCCCCAUCAGGGAGAGGAGGAGGGUGCAGGGAGGAGAAGGAAGACAGAGGUGAAGUAUGGCCACCAUGGCGCGGCUACUGGAGUCCUCAGAGAGAGGACCUGCCCAGACACCUGGGGACAGUGGAGGUGGGAAUCAUCCUGGAGUGUAUGGGGGCUGGGAUGGCUGCCACAGGACGGCAUGGGCCCUCGGAUGGGCAUGCGGGCCCGGAGGGGCGGGCUGUUUGCUGUACUGGAUCUGCUGUGGGGGGAGGAAAUAAUGUGCUUCUGUCCUGCAAGGACCCAGCAGAGGACUGAAAGAACAGAGAGAAGAGAAUAACAGGUGCUGCUCCUGAGAAGCCAGGGCCACGGAGGGAGGGGCCUCAGAACCUGUUCCGGGUUGCCUGACCAGUGGGUGGUACAGCGGGCCCAGCGCUGGUGCACCGUGGAGGUCAAAGGUUGCCCCGCACACGCCCCAUCUAUGGCUUCAGCCUGCAGCUUGGGAAGGGAAGGCUCUUCCCCAUCCUGCCAUCCUCCACAGCAUGGGCUCCUCCUCUGCUUAGUUGUGCAGGACACUCCAACCACAGCAUGCGGUUCUUGUCCUUAUUCCACUGAAUGCUCAAGCCUUUGCAUACUUCAUUGCUACCUACCCCAAGAGAAGACGAAUCGAUGCCUUUGCUAUUGGGCGAGUGCUUGCCUAGAUGAGUUGCUGAAGAUGAUCUUGAACUUGUGGUUCCUCCUGCCUCAGUCUCUCAAGUCACUGGAAUUACAGGCAUGCACCACUAUGCCUGGCUGUUUAUAACACUUCUUUCGUUGAACAAGUUUAUCUGAGAGAAAACAGCUCUUCAAGUUUUCAACGCGUGUCUUCAUGUUUCUGCACAAAUGCUCGUGCUUUUGAUCCUGACCAUCAGCAAAGCUGCAAAGUACCUGGAGCAUCCUUAAUUGAUAAGUCAUUUUACUUUGUUGUCAUUGCAAGUGUUUUGUCUCCUUGUUUUUGUGGAUGAAGUAGGAGGUUUUGGCUGUGUUCAGUCAACUGAUAGAAUUUAGUGUAAAAUUGAUUAAAUGCAGCUCCAAAUUACCAGA